UACGAAGGGGGCUAGCGUUGUUCGGAAUUACUGGGCGUAAAGCGCACGUAGGCGGAUCCUUAAGUCAGGGGUGAAAUCCCGAGGCUCAACCUCGGAACUGCCUUUGAUACUGGGGAUAUCGAGUCCGGGAGAGGUGAGUGGAACUGCGAGUGUAGAGGUGAAAUUCGUAGAUAUUCGCAAGAACACCAGUGGCGAAGGCGGCUCACUGGUCCGGUACUGACGCUGAGGUGCGAAAGCGUGGGGAGCAAACAGG
This 253-nucleotide ribosomal RNA is filed under the name uncultured bacterium. Its description in RNAcentral is "partial 16S ribosomal RNA". It matches the Rfam family "Bacterial small subunit ribosomal RNA", at positions 524 to 776 of the family's 1533-position model. The record is from RNAcentral.